This is a non-coding RNA of Kogia breviceps (pygmy sperm whale), 724 nucleotides long. The record is from RefSeq and is a predicted model, not a curated record. NCBI's taxonomy places the organism in Eukaryota, Metazoa, Chordata, Mammalia, Artiodactyla, Physeteridae.
AGAACCUGGAUACUCUGGAGAUGAGACUUAAGGCAAGAAUGGAAGCGGAGACAUGAAGCUACUACGGGUCAAGUCACGGAACUAACAAGAAGUGGAGCUAGAGUUGGAACACAAGUCCUUCUGAUGCCAAAGCCUAUCUACAUCAACAUGUCCUCAGGUUUGGCUAUUCCCUCUUCUAGGCAAAAAUGUCCAGUAGUUAGUGAAAAACAUUGAUGAGGCAACAGGUUUCUGUUUUACAAGUGAGGAAAUUGAGGCAUAUAGCAAUUCCCUUGUUCAGUGUACUGUAUCGUUUGAAGAAAUAUGACAUUUGGAAAAGAAAAAGUGACUUCAAAGCAGAACUGAAAGACUGUUGCUUUUAAGUGCUCCUCUGUAGAGCAGUAAAUGGAAGUAUAAGAAGAGAAGAGAGAUGUGACAGUGUGACCUGUAACUUUCUUCCCAAAAGAAUAGAACUUUCCCCUGUGCCUUUUGACCACAGUUACUCUUUCAUACCUUGUAAGCAUUUUUUUCCUUAUGUUUUUUCUGUCCCUGUUCCUUAAUUCCUCAGAAAUAGCAACUUGGUAAUCUUUUGCAUGGUAUCCCAAAUAGUAUUGUGAAUAGAUGAAUGCUUAAUGAAGUUAGGGUAGUGGGCAAGGGUAUUUCUAAGAAGUCUUGGAGGGGUGAUUUCUGUCCCUUACCCUCUAGCUGUUAUGCUUUAGAACUUCUGAGCCUUUUAUGCUUCUAAGAG